RNAcentral lists this ribosomal RNA (1388 nucleotides) under uncultured bacterium. Its description in RNAcentral is "partial 16S ribosomal RNA". It matches the Rfam family "Bacterial small subunit ribosomal RNA". The record is from RNAcentral.
GAAUUCCCCCUUAGAGUUUGAUCCUGGCUCAGGAUAAUUGCUGGCGGCGUGCUUAACACAUUCAAGUCGAACGAGCGAGAGCCCUUCGGGACUCGAGCGAGUGGCGGACGGGUGAGUAAUGCAUGAGCAACCUGCCUUUAAGAGGGGAAUACCACCGAGAAAUUGGUGCUAAUACCGCAUAAGUCGUUUGGACGGCAUCGUCCGAACGGUAAAGGAGCAAUUCGCUUAAAGAUGGGCUCAUGUCUGAUUAGAUAGUUGGUGAGGUAACGGCUCACCAAGUCUGCGAUCAGUAGCCGGACUGAGAGGUUGAACGGCCACAUUGGAACUGAGAUACGGUCCAGACUCCUACGGGAGGCAGCAGUGGGGAAUAUUGGGCAAUGGGCGAAAGCCUGACCCAGCGACGCCGCGUGAGGGAAGACGGUCUUCGGAUUGUAAACCUUAAUAAACAGGGACGAAGAAAUGACGGUACCUGAAUAAAGCCACGGCUAACUACGUGCCAGCAGCCGCGGUAAUACGUAGGUGGCGAGCGUUAUCCGGAUUUACUGGGUGUAAAGGGUGCGUAGGCGGAGAAGCAAGUCAGAUGUGAAAUGCAUGGGCUUAACCCAUGAACUGCAUUUGAAACUGUUUUUCUUGAGAGUCGGAGGGGUAAUCGGAAUUCCCAGUGUAGCGGUGAAAUGCGUAGAGAUUGGGAGGAACACCAGUGGCGAAGGCGGAUUACUGGACGACAACUGACGCUGAAGCACGAAAGCGUGGGGAGCAAACAGGAUUAGAUACCCUGGUAGUCCCGACCUUAAACGGUGCACACUCGCGGUGGGGCCAUUUCACCGGCCCCGUCGCUUAGCUAACGCGUUAAGCGUGCCGCCUGGGGAGUACGGCCGCAAGGCUAAAACUCAAAGAAAUUGACGGGGGCCCGCACAAGCAGAGGAGCAUGUGGCUUAAUUCGAUGCAACGCGAAGAACCUUACCUGGGUUUGACAUACGGAUGCACGGCCCGUGAAAGCGGGCCUCCUUCGAGGGUUCCGUACAGGUGCUGCAUGGCUGUCGUCAGUUCGUGCCGUGAGGCGUUUGGUUAAGUCCACCAACGAACGCAACCCCUAUGAGCCGUUGCCAGCGGGUAAAGCCGGGAACUCAGCUCACACUGCUCGUUUACGCGAGAGGAAGGUGGGGAUGACGUCAAGUCAGUAUGGCCCUUACACCCAGGGCUGCACACGUGCUACAAUGGCCGGUACAGAGGGAAGCGAGACCGCAAGGUGGAGCCAAUCCCAGAGGGCCGGCCUCAGUUCAGAUCGGGGUCUGCAACCCGACCCCGUGAAGUCGGAUUUGCUAGUAACGGCGUAUCAGCUACGACGCCGUGAAUGCGUUCCCGGGCCUUGCACUCACCGCCCGUCA